This 74-nucleotide transfer RNA is filed under the name Bacillus thuringiensis. RNAcentral's name for it is "tRNA-Gly". It matches the Rfam family "tRNA". From Rfam's summary of the family: Transfer RNA (tRNA) molecules are approximately 80 nucleotides in length. Lineage: Bacteria; Bacillati; Bacillota; Bacilli; Caryophanales; Bacillaceae. The record is from RNAcentral.
GCGGCUAUGGUGUAAUUGGUUAACAUGACUGCCUUCCAAGCAGUAGAGUACGGGUUCAAGUCCCGUUAGCCGCU